CAAGUUCUAAAACUAGAGGUUCUAAAUGGCACAUUUAUCUGCCUAUGGCUAUGCAAAGACUUCUAGAAAACACUCAACUAAUAUAAGUAUAACAAAUAACAACUAAACCGUAUUAAUAUGUCUUAUAUUUUCUAUACGUUCUUAUCUGACCAAAUUUGCCCUCACUCCAAGAAUUGUAGGUAUUUUAACAGUGGAUCUUGCUUCCCACAGUAAAAGCAGAAAGAUACCACUGCCAUCUUAUAUCAUCAUAUUGGAUAACAGAUUCGGAGAGACUCAUGUAUUGCAAUUGAUUUAGAGCCAUACGCAUAUCUCCACCAACACGUUCUGGCAAUACCUUAAGAACAAUCUAGAAAAGACAAAGACGAAGAAAAACAAUCAUGAAACUCGGAAAGUUUGCUUAUCUAUCUAGACAACACAAAAGGGAAAGCUUUCCCUAUGUUUUGUAGUAACACCACCAAUAUUUAAGUAGGAAAGAUCUCCAUCAGAUAUGUAUUGACACAAAUACAUGUCGUGGUUUCCACCACACAACUAUUUUAGUACAUCACUUGCUUGAUUAUUUUUGAAAAAAUAACUAUUAUUUA
Long non-coding RNA from Capsicum annuum, 581 nucleotides. RefSeq lists it as uncharacterized. The transcript is spliced from 2 exons. Lineage: Eukaryota; Viridiplantae; Streptophyta; Magnoliopsida; Solanales; Solanaceae. The record is from RefSeq and is a predicted model, not a curated record.